RNAcentral lists this ribosomal RNA (258 nucleotides) under uncultured Campylobacter sp. RNAcentral describes it as "partial 16S ribosomal RNA". It matches the Rfam family "Bacterial small subunit ribosomal RNA", at positions 79 to 339 of the family's 1533-position model. The record is from RNAcentral. Lineage: Bacteria; Pseudomonadati; Campylobacterota; Epsilonproteobacteria; Campylobacterales; Campylobacteraceae.
CUUGCUCUUAUAAGUUAGUGGCGCACGGGUGAGUAAUAUAUAGCUAAUCUGCCUCUUAGUAGAGGAUAACAGUCGGAAACGAUUGCUAAUACUCUAUACUUCUGCUUUACAUAAGUAAAGUAGAGAAAGUUUUUCGCUAAGAGAUGAGGCUAUACUGUAUCAGCUAGUUGGUAAGGUAACGGCUUACCAAGGCUAUGACGCAUAACUGGUCUGAGAGGAUGAUCAGUCACAUUGGAACUGAGACACGGUCCAAACUCC